UACAGAGGGUGCAAGCGUUGUUCGGAAUUACUGGGCGUAAAGCGCGCGCAGGCGGGUCUGUAAGUCGGAAGUGAAAUUGCACUGCUCAACGGUGUAGCUGCUUCUGAUACUGCAGACCUUGAGGCCGGGAGAGGGUAGCGGAAUUCCCAGUGUAGCGGUGAAAUGCGUAGAUAUUGGGAGGAACACCAGUGGCGAAGGCGGCUACCUGGACCGGUUCUGACGCUGAGGCGCGAAAGCGUGGGUAGCAAACAGG
RNAcentral lists this ribosomal RNA (253 nucleotides) under uncultured bacterium. Its description in RNAcentral is "partial 16S ribosomal RNA". It matches the Rfam family "Bacterial small subunit ribosomal RNA", at positions 524 to 776 of the family's 1533-position model. The record is from RNAcentral.